CUACAGAGGGUGCAAGCGUUAAUCGGAUUUACUGGGCGUAAAGCGCGCGUAGGUGGCUAAUUAAGUCAAAUGUGAAAUCCCCGAGCUUAACUUGGGAAUUGCAUUCGAUACUGGUUAGCUAGAGUAUGGGAGAGGAUGGUAGAAUUCCAGGUGUAGCGGUGAAAUGCGUAGAGAUCUGGAGGAAUACCGAUGGCGAAGGCAGCCAUCUGGCCUAAUACUGACACUGAGGUGCGAAAGCAUGGGGAGCAAACAGGAUUAGAUACCCUGGUAGUCCAUGCCGUAAACGAUGUCUACUAGCCGUUGGGGCCCUUGAGGCUUUAGUGGCGCAGCUAACGCGAUAAGUAGACCGCCUGGGGAGUACGGUCGCAAGACUAAAACUCAAAUGAAUUGGCGGGG
This 396-nucleotide ribosomal RNA is filed under the name uncultured bacterium. RNAcentral's name for it is "partial 16S ribosomal RNA". It matches the Rfam family "Bacterial small subunit ribosomal RNA", at positions 523 to 918 of the family's 1533-position model. The record is from RNAcentral.